GCAGCACAGAUUCAGAAUAGCUGCAGAGAUUGGCACUGGCCUACUUUUUCUCCACCAAACCAAGCCAGAACCACUUGUGCAUCGUGACCUAAAACCUGGCAACAUUUUGCUUGACCGUAACUAUGUCAGCAAGAUCAGCGAUGUUGGCUUAGCCAGGCUUGUCCCUCCAUCAGUAGCCAAUGCGGUAACUCAGUAUCGCAUGACAUCAACAGCUGGGACUUUCUGUUACAUAGAUCCAGAAUAUCAACAAACUGGCAUGCUUGGAAUAAAAUCUGAUAUUUACUCACUUGGGGUCUUGCUUCUUCAAAUAAUAACGGCAAAGCCCCCAAUGGGUUUGACUCAUCUUGUGGAACGGGCUAUUGAGAGAGGGAACUUUGCAGAGACGCUUGAUCCAGCAAUUCCCGAUUGGCCAGUUGAACAUGCCUUAGCAUUCGCAAAGUUAGCUCUUAAGUGCGCAGAAUUGAGAAGAAAGGACAGACCUGAUCUAGGUACCGUAGUUUUACCUGAACUUAAUAGACUGAGAGCACUGGCUGAGGAUGCAAUGCCCAGCAUGGCACAAUCAAGCAGCUCAGGAGGGUCAUCAGGCAGCAGUCACAGUUCAAGCACAAGUCAGGUGAGAAGGUGUACUUUGUAAUCAUUCCGCCUACUGCUU
This 652-nucleotide long non-coding RNA is filed under the name Eucalyptus grandis. RNAcentral's name for it is "long non-coding RNA (EGRA_LNC001199)". Lineage: Eukaryota; Viridiplantae; Streptophyta; Magnoliopsida; Myrtales; Myrtaceae. The record is from RNAcentral.